RNAcentral lists this ribosomal RNA (490 nucleotides) under uncultured bacterium. Its description in RNAcentral is "partial 16S ribosomal RNA". It matches the Rfam family "Bacterial small subunit ribosomal RNA", at positions 30 to 507 of the family's 1533-position model. The record is from RNAcentral.
AUUGAACGCUGGCGGCAGGCCUAACACAUGCAAGUCGAACGGUAACAGGAAGCAGCUUGCUUCUUUGCUGACGAGUGGCGGACGGGUGAGUAAUGUCUGGGAAACUGCCUGAUGGAGGGGGAUAACUACUGGAAACGGUAGCUAAUACCGCAUAACGUCGCAAGACCAAAGAGGGGGACCUUCGGGCCUCUUGCCAUCGGAUGUGCCCAGAUGGGAUUAGCUAGUAGGUGGGGUAACGGCUCACCUAGGCGACGAUCCCUAGCUGGUCUGAGAGGAUGACCAGCCACACUGGAACUGAGACACGGUCCAGACUCCUACGGGAGGCAGCAGUGGGGAAUAUUGCACAAUGGGCGCAAGCCUGAUGCAGCCAUGCCGCGUGUAUGAAGAAGGCCUUCGGGUUGUAAAGUACUUUCAGCGGGGAGGAAGGGAGUAAAGUUAAUACCUUUGCUCAUUGACGUUACCCGCAGAAGAAGCACCGGCUAACUCCGUG